Molecule: ribosomal RNA, 483 nt
Filed under: uncultured bacterium
Lineage: Bacteria
Description: bacterial SSU rRNA
Rfam family: Bacterial small subunit ribosomal RNA
Source: RNAcentral
GAUGAACGCUGGCGGCGUGCCUAAUACAUGCAAGUCGAACGAGGUGCUUUUGUAGCAAUACGAGAGUAUCCUAGUGGCGAACGGGUGAGUAACGCGUGGGAAUCUGCCUUCUAGUGGGGGAUAGCCCGGAGAAAUCCGGAUUAAUACCGCAUACGCCCUACGGGGAAAGCCGGGGAGUCUUCGGACCUGGCGCUAGUAGAUGAGCCGCGUGAGAUUAGCUUGUUGGUGGGGUAAUGGCCUACCAAGGCAACGAUCUCUAGCUGGUCUGAGAGGACGAUCAGCCACACUGGGACUGAGACACGGCCCAGACUCCUACGGGAGGCAGCAGUGGGGAAUAUUGGACAAUGGGCGAAAGCCUGAUCCAGCAAUGCCGCGUGUGUGAAGAAGGCCUGAGGGUUGUAAAGCACUUUCAAUCGUGAAGAAAAGUUGCAGGCUAAUACCCUGUGACCUUGACGUUAACGAUACAAGAAGCACCGGCUAACU